CUCAAUGAAAUUAAAUAGCUGCAAUUUUGUACUAAGGUAGCAUAAUCAUUUGUUUUUUAAUUAAAAACUAGAACGAAAGAUUCAACAUUUUCAUUCCUUUAUUACAUAUAAUUAUUAAAUUUUUUUUAAAUAUAAAAAAAUAUUUAUUAAAUAAAAAGACGACAAGACCCUAUUGAAUUUCACUAAAGUUAAACUGGGGUAGUUAAUUAAAUAUAAUUUUAAUUCAAACCACAAAAAUACCUAAUAUAAUUAAAUAAUCAAAUUACCAUAGGGAUAACAGCGUAAUAAUUUUCCUAAGAUCUUAUUUAAAAAAUUGAUUACGACCUCGAUGUUGAAUUAAUAUUCUAUUAAAUGCAAUAAUUUAAUAAGAAAGUCUGUUCGACUU
This 385-nucleotide ribosomal RNA is filed under the name Draconarius papai. RNAcentral describes it as "partial 16S ribosomal RNA". The record is from RNAcentral. Lineage: Eukaryota; Metazoa; Arthropoda; Arachnida; Araneae; Agelenidae.